UGCAAGUCGAGGGGCAGCGGGAAUUGAGCUUGCUCAAUUUGCCGGCGACCGGCGCACGGGUGCGUAACGCGUAUGUAACCUACCUUGAACUGGGGAAUAACACUGAGAAAUCGGUACUAAUACCCCAUAAUACACUGGAAGGCAUCUUUUGGUGUUGAAAGCUCCGGCGGUUCAAGAUGGACAUGCGUUGUAUUAGUUAGUUGGUGAGGUAACGGCUCACCAAGGCGACGAUACAUAGGGGGACUGAGAGGUUAACCCCCCACAUUGGUACUGAGACACGGACCAAACUCCUACGGGAGGCAGCAGUGAGGAAUAUUGGUCAAUGGACGCAAGUCUGAACCAGCCAUGCCGCGUGCAGGAAGACGGCUCUAUGAGUUGUAAACUGCUUUUGUACGAGGGUAAACUCGGAUACGUGUAUCCGACUGAAAGUAUCGUACGAAUAAGGAUCGGCUAACUCCGUGCCAGCAGCCGCGGUAAUACGGAGGAUCCAAGCGUUAUCCGGAUUUAUUGGGUUUAAAGGGUGCGUAGGCGGUUUGAUAAGUUAGAGGUGAAAGCUCGGGGCUUAACUCCGAGACUGCCUCUAAUACUGUUGAGCUAGAGAGUAGUUGCGGUAGGCGGAAUGUAUGGUGUAGCGGUGAAAUGCG
Molecule: ribosomal RNA, 644 nt
Filed under: uncultured bacterium
Lineage: Bacteria
Description: bacterial SSU rRNA
Rfam family: Bacterial small subunit ribosomal RNA
Source: RNAcentral